GACGAACGCUGGCGGCGUGCUUAACACAUGCAAGUCGAACGGAAAGGCCCUGCUUUUGUGGGGUGCUCGAGUGGCGAACGGGUGAGUAACACGUGAGUAACCUGCCCUUGACUUUGGGAUAACUUCAGGAAACUGGGGCUAAUACCGGAUAGGAGCUCCUGCUGCAUGGUGGGGGUUGGAAAGUUUCGGCGGUUGGGGAUGGACUCGCGGCUUAUCAGCUUGUUGGUGGGGUAGUGGCUUACCAAGGCUUUGACGGGUAGCCGGCCUGAGAGGGUGACCGGCCACAUUGGGACUGAGAUACGGCCCAGACUCCUACGGGAGGCAGCAGUGGGGAAUAUUGCACGAUGGGCGGAAGCCUGAUGCAGCAACGCCGCGUGCGGGAUGACGGCCUUCGGGUUGGAACCCGCUUUCGCCUGUGACGAAGCGUGAGUGACGGUAAUGGGUAAAGAAGCACCGGCUAACUACGUG
Molecule: ribosomal RNA, 468 nt
Filed under: uncultured bacterium
Lineage: Bacteria
Description: partial 16S ribosomal RNA
Rfam family: Bacterial small subunit ribosomal RNA
Source: RNAcentral